CACGUAGUUAGCCGUGGCUUUCUGAUUAGGUACCGUCAAGAUGUGCACAGUUACUUACACAUUUGUUCUUCCCUAAUAACAGAGUUUUACGAGCCGAAACCCUUCAUCACUCACGCGGCGUUGCUCCGUCAGGCUUUCGCCCAUUGCGGAAGAUUCCCUACUGCUGCCUCCCGUAGGAGUUUGGACCGUGUCUCAGUUCCAGUGUGGCCGAUCACCCUCUCAGGUCGGCUACGUAUCGUCGCCUUGGUAAGCCGUUACCUUACCAACUAGCUAAUACGGCGCGGGUCCAUCUAUAAGUGAUAGCAAAACCAUCUUUCACUUUAGAACCAUGCGGUUCUAAAUGUUAUCCGGUAUUAGCUCCGGUUUCCCGAAGUUAUCCCAGUCUUAUAGGUAGGUUACCCACGUGUUACUCACCCGUCCGCCGCUAACUUCAAAGGAGCAAGCUCCUUAUCUGUUCGCUCGACUUGCAUGUAUUAGGCACGCCGCCAGCGUUCAUCCUGAGCCAGGAUCAAACUCU
RNAcentral lists this ribosomal RNA (517 nucleotides) under uncultured Staphylococcus sp. RNAcentral's name for it is "partial 16S ribosomal RNA". The record is from RNAcentral. Lineage: Bacteria; Bacillati; Bacillota; Bacilli; Caryophanales; Staphylococcaceae.